GAUCCCAGAUAAUGAUCCGAGGUAGUCGGUAACGCGCGCCGCGGCAAAGGCAGAGUGAAUUCCGACUUUGGAUCAGCCUCCCGAUUGUCGUGUAACCCGAUAAUCGAGGGCUUAAGUCGAACACCUAUCGCCUGGACAUGAGUCGAGCAUGUUCGUUGAGUCGAAAGUCGACCGACCUCUGGGCAUAACUCGAUGGCCGGAUCAUUUCAUAGGGUCAGAUAGUCAAAUGUCGUCUGAUGCGUUCAGUCGAAUGGCGUCCGACGCGUUU
Molecule: long non-coding RNA, 268 nt
Filed under: Elaeis guineensis (African oil palm)
Lineage: Eukaryota; Viridiplantae; Streptophyta; Magnoliopsida; Arecales; Arecaceae
Description: long non-coding RNA (EGUI_LNC082290)
Source: RNAcentral